AAGUCAUAGGAAACGAGUGACCGGUGAAAAAUAAUGUUUUUCCAAUUCUAUAACAAAUGCAUACAAACAUCAUAAACUUAAUCUUCUGUGCACGAAUUUAUCAUUUUUUUCUUGUAAAUUUCGUAUAAUCGUCAAUUUUUUUUUCAAUCGGUCAGUGUUGUUGUGAAAAUAUGGCAGGUAAUUAAAGUUCGUGUUUUGAAGCCGAAGUUUAACGAUUGUCACCGGUUUGUCAACAAUCGACAAAAAAUCAACAAAAAAGCACGGAAAUAGAGCACGUGUUUAACAUGUAAAUUCAGAUAAUAGUUUAUUUUAAGGACAUCCAUGCAUAUUGUGAUCACCGGAUUUUUACGAGAUGGGUCACACUGAGGUCACUUUGCAUACGGAAAAUAUGUCGGGGAAUUGCUUCCUGGAAGCAAUUAAAAUAAAGCAAUUAAAAUAAAGUAAACUUCUUCUAAAUAUGAAAAAUUAAAGAAUUUUCUUCAGAAAAAAGUAUAUAUACAUAAGUUUUAUAAUGAAAACUAUCCAUUGAGUUAUAAAAAAACAUAUG
This 547-nucleotide long non-coding RNA is filed under the name Mytilus galloprovincialis (Mediterranean mussel). The record is from RNAcentral. Lineage: Eukaryota; Metazoa; Mollusca; Bivalvia; Mytilida; Mytilidae.